UGGGGAAUAUUGGACAAUGGGCGAAAGCCUGAUCCAGCCAUGCCGCGUGUGUGAAGAAGGCCUUUUGGUUGUAAAGCACUUUAAGCGAGGAGGAGGCUACUUAGAUUAAUACCCUAGGAUAGUGGACGUUACUCGCAGAAUAAGCACCGGCUAACUCUGUGCCAGCAGCCGCGGUAAUACAGAGGGUGCGAGCGUUAAUCGGAUUUACUGGGCGUAAAGCGUGCGUAGGCGGCUUCUUAAGUCGGAUGUGAAAUCCCUGAGCUUAACUUAGGAAUUGCAUUCGAUACUGGGAAGCUAGAGUAUGGUAGAGGAUGGUAGAAUUCCAGGUGUAGCGGUGAAAUGCGUAGAGAUCUGGAGGAAUACCGAUGGCGAAGGCAGCCAUCUGGCCUAAUACUGACGCUGAGGUACGAAAGCAUGGGGAGCAAACAGG
RNAcentral lists this ribosomal RNA (430 nucleotides) under bacterium. Its description in RNAcentral is "partial 16S ribosomal RNA". It matches the Rfam family "Bacterial small subunit ribosomal RNA", at positions 355 to 776 of the family's 1533-position model. The record is from RNAcentral.